AUUGAAAUAAUUAAAGAAAGCUUCUAACUUUCAAUUAAGCAUAAAAAUGUUUUU
RNAcentral lists this transfer RNA (54 nucleotides) under Libnetis sp. UPOL 001002. RNAcentral's name for it is "partial tRNA-Ser". The record is from RNAcentral. Lineage: Eukaryota; Metazoa; Arthropoda; Insecta; Coleoptera; Lycidae.